Molecule: ribosomal RNA, 1335 nt
Filed under: Parnassius andreji
Lineage: Eukaryota; Metazoa; Arthropoda; Insecta; Lepidoptera; Papilionidae
Description: 16S ribosomal RNA
Rfam family: Eukaryotic large subunit ribosomal RNA (bases 1076-1235)
Source: RNAcentral
GGGGGAUAAAUUAAUAAAGUAUAAAUAAUAAAAAAAUUUUUAAUAUUAAAAUAGUUUAAUGGGGGUUAAAGUAUAUUUAAUAGAAAAAAUAAAAAAAUUUAUAGAAAAUUAGUAUUGUAAAAGAAAUUUGAAAUAUUUUGAAAAUGAAUUUAUUUAAAAGUAAAUUUAAUUUAUUGUAUCUUGUGUAUCAGAGUUUAUUAAUAAUGAUUUUUAUUUAAAAAUUUCUCGAAUUUAAAAGAGAUAAUUGAUUAUUAAAGUUAAUGUUGUAUAAUUAUUUUAAAUAAUUAAUUUGAAAUGAAAUGUUAAUCGUUUUUAAAUAUAUCUAGUUUUUUUAGAAAAAAAUUUAAUUUUAAAUUUUAAAAAAUAUAAUUUUAAUUAAUUAAAAUUAUAUUUUUAAAAUUAAAUAUUUUAAGGGAUAAGCUUUAAAAUAAAUUUUUAUAAUAAAUUUAAAAAUAAUUAAAAUUUUUAAAAUUUAUAUUGUUUAAAAAUUAUAAUUUUUUAUAAAUAAUUUUAAUUAAAAUAAAAUUUAAAAUUUAUUUAAUUUUUUAUUAAAAAAUAUUUUUUAAUAAUUAAAAUUUAGAUAUAAUGAUAAAAUUAGUAUAUAAUUAAAUAAAGAUAAUUUAUUAUUUAAUAAUUUAAUAAAAGGAAUUCGGCAAAUAUUUAUAUUCACUUGUUUAUCAAAAACAUGUCUUUUUGAUUAAUAAUUUAAAGUCUAAUCUGCCCACUGAUAAUAUAUUAAAGGGCUGCAGUAUUUUGACUGUACAAAGGUAGCAUAAUCAUUAGUCUCUUAAUUGGUGACUUGUAUGAAAGAUUUGAUGAAAUAUAUACUGUCUCUAAUUAAUUUGUAAAAUUUAAUUUUUUAGUUAAAAAGCUAAAAUAAAUUUAAAAGACGAGAAGACCCUAUAGAGUUUAAUAUUUAUAUAAAUUGAGAUUUUAUAUAAGAAUUAUAAUUUUAAUAAUAUAUAAAUAUUUUGUUGGGGUGACAAAAAAAUUAAAAUAACUUUUUUUAUAUUUUUACAUUUAUAAAUGAAUAAAUGAUCCAUAAUUUAUGAUUAUAAGAAAAAAUUACCUUAGGGAUAACAGCGUAAUUUUUUUUUUUAGUUCAAAUAAGAAAAAAAGUUUGCGACCUCGAUGUUGGAUUAAGAUAAAAUUUAAAUGCAAAAGUUUAAAAUUUUUGAUCUGUUCGAUCAUUAAAAUCUUACAUGAUCUGAGUUCAAACCGGUGUAAGCCAGGUUGGUUUCUAUCUUUAGAUUAAUAAAAUAUUUUAGUACGAAAGGAUCAAAUAUUUAAAAUAAUUUUAUAUAAAAGAAUUUUAAUAAUAGUUAAAUAAAUUUA